GAGAGUUUGAUCCUGGCUCAGGACGAACGCUGGCGGCGUGCUUAACACAUGCAAGUCGAACGGAGCACCCUUGAUUGAGGUUUCGGCCAAAUGAUAGGAAUGCUUAGUGGCGGACUGGUGAGUAACGCGUGAGGAACCUGCCUUUCAGAGGGGGACAACAGUUGGAAACGACUGCUAAUACCGCAUGACGCAUUUUGAUCGCAUGGUCGAAAUGCCAAAGAUUUAUCGCUGAAAGAUGGCCUCGCGUCUGAUUAGCUAGUUGGUGAGGUAACGGCCCACCAAGGCGACGAUCAGUAGCCGGACUGAGAGGUUGACCGGCCACAUUGGGACUGAGAUACGGCCCAGACUCCUACGGGAGGCAGCAGUGGGGAAUAUUGGGCAAUGGGCGCAAGCCUGACCCAGCAACGCCGCGUGAAGGAAGAAGGCUUUCGGGUUGUAAACUUCUUUUAAGUGGGAAGAGUAGAAGACGGUACCACUUGAAUAAGCCACGGCUAACUACGUGCCAGCAGCCGCGGUAAUACGUAGGUGGCAAGCGUUGUCCGGAUUUACUGGGUGUAAAGGGCGUGCAGCCGGGCAUGCAAGUCAGAUGUGAAAUCUCAGGGCUUAACCCUGAAACUGCAUUUGAAACUGUAUGUCUUGAGUGCCGGAGAGGUAAUCGGAAUUCCUUGUGUAGCGGUGAAAUGCGUAGAUAUAAGGAAGAACACCAGUGGCGAAGGCGGAUUACUGGACGGUAACUGACGGUGAGGCGCGAAAGCGUGGGGAGCGAACAGGAUUAGAUACCCUGGUAGUCCACGCUGUAAACGAUGGAUACUAGGUGUGCGGGGACUGACCCCCUGCGUGCCGCAGUUAACACAAUAAGUAUCCCACCUGGGGAGUACGAUCGCAAGGUUGAAACUCAAAGGAAUUGACGGGGGCCCGCACAAGCGGUGGAUUAUGUGGUUUAAUUCGAAGCAACGCGAAGAACCUUACCAGGUCUUGACAUCCUGCUAACGAAGUAGAGAUACAUUAGGUGCCCUUCGGGGAAAGCAGAGACAGGUGGUGCAUGGUUGUCGUCAGCUCGUGUCGUGAGAUGUUGGGUUAAGUCCCGCAACGAGCGCAACCCCUAUUGUUAGUUGCUACGCAAGAGCACUCUAGCGAGACUGCCGUUGACAAAACGGAGGAAG
RNAcentral lists this ribosomal RNA (1163 nucleotides) under uncultured Clostridia bacterium. RNAcentral describes it as "bacterial SSU rRNA". It matches the Rfam family "Bacterial small subunit ribosomal RNA", at positions 8 to 1172 of the family's 1533-position model. Lineage: Bacteria; Bacillati; Bacillota; Clostridia. The record is from RNAcentral.